RNAcentral lists this ribosomal RNA (366 nucleotides) under uncultured eukaryote. RNAcentral's name for it is "partial 18S ribosomal RNA". It matches the Rfam family "Eukaryotic small subunit ribosomal RNA", at positions 592 to 976 of the family's 1831-position model. The record is from RNAcentral.
CAAUAGCGUAUAUUAACGUUGUUGCAGUUAAAAAGCUCGUAGUUGGAUUUCUGGAGGGAGCGUCGGCCCGUAUUUACGAGUGCGUGACGUCUCUGUCCAUCCUUGCGGGAAGGCACGGCAUUGAUUUGUUGUGUCGGAUCGCAUCAUUUACUGUGAAAAAAUUAGAGUGUUCAAAGCAGGCUUUCGCUUGAAUACAUUAGCAUGGAAUAAUAAGAUAGGACUUUGGUGCUAUUUUGUUGGUUGAGCCUAAAGUAAUGAUUAAUAGGGAUAGUUGGGGGCACCUGUAUUGCGUUGUCAGAGGUGAAAUUCUUGGAUUUACGCAAGACAAACAGCUGCGAAANCGNNNGCGAAGGAUGUUUUCAUNAA